This is a non-coding RNA of Schistosoma haematobium, 48 nucleotides long. NCBI's taxonomy places the organism in Eukaryota, Metazoa, Platyhelminthes, Trematoda, Strigeidida, Schistosomatidae. The record is from Rfam.
AUCCAACUGAUUAGUCCCAAAUAGGACGAAAUGCACUUUGUCCUGGAU